CCCUUAGAUGUUCUGGGCUGCACGCGCGCUACACUGAUACUUUCAGCGAGUCCACCACCUUGCCUGGGAAGGUGGGGUAACCUCUGGAAAGUGCAUCGUGAUGGGGAUCGAUUAUUGUAAUUAUUAAUCUUCAACGAGGAAUUCCUAGUAAGCAUGUGUCAUCAGCCCGUGCUGAUUACGUCCCUGCCCUUUGUACACACCGCCCGUCGCUCCUACCGAUUGAGUGCUCCGGUGAACAAUUUGGACUGCUUUGAUUCGAUUAGAAUUUGAAGCGGAAAGUUUAGUGAACCUUAUCACUUAGAGGAAGGAGAAGUCGUAACA
This 321-nucleotide ribosomal RNA is filed under the name uncultured eukaryote. Its description in RNAcentral is "partial 18S ribosomal RNA". It matches the Rfam family "Eukaryotic small subunit ribosomal RNA", at positions 1470 to 1796 of the family's 1831-position model. The record is from RNAcentral.